Molecule: long non-coding RNA, 2384 nt
Filed under: Mytilus galloprovincialis (Mediterranean mussel)
Lineage: Eukaryota; Metazoa; Mollusca; Bivalvia; Mytilida; Mytilidae
Source: RNAcentral
GGACAGACUGUACAAUAAAAUGCUGAAGUUGCAGUAAGAGUUUGACGAAGGCCCACGUGUAAUCCCUUAUUGACAAUUGCAGAACUCUGACCAACAGAUUUCACAUUGGGUAUUUAACAUGUUUCAUCAUUUAAUCAUAUUGAUAAUUAAACAGAGGCUUUACUUAAACAAGUUUCUUUCAAAACAACGUAAAGGCAAAGUGUACACAAUUAACUACUCCACAGAAUUUUUUAUGCCCUGGCCGUAACGGAGGGGGCAUUAAGUUUUACCCUUGUCUGUCUGUACGUACGUACGUCCGUACGUCCCAAAGUUGGUUUCCGUUCUCUUACUUUAGUUUGCCUCAACUAAAUGUUAUGAAACUUAUACACAAUGCUUAUUACCACAAAACACAAAUCAAGUAUGAAUUUUGGUGGCGUCACUUUAACGGUUCUAGAGUUAUGCCCCUUUACAAAUGGACAAAUUGCUGAAUUUUCAUUUCCGUUCUGUUACUUUAGUUUGCCUCAACCAAAUGUUAUGAAACUUAUACACAAUGCUUAUUACCACAGAACACAGAUCAAGUUUGAAUUUUGGUGGUGUUGCUUUAACCAUUAUAGAGUUGUGCCCCUUUACCAUGUUUACAAAUGGAAAAAAUUGCUGAAUUUUUCGUUUCCGUUCUCUAACAAGUUAGCCUCAACCAAAUGUUAUGAAACUUAUACACCAUGCUUAUUACCACAAAAUACAGAUCAGGUUUGAAUUUUAGGGGUGUCAAUAUUACUGUUCUACAGUUAUGCCCCUUUAUAACGUUAUAUGAUAUGCAAGCGGGGGCAUCAUCUGUGUCCCAUGGACACAUUCCCCAUUUAUUUAAUUAUCACAUAUUUGGAUUCUGCUUGUAAAAAUACACCAGAAAAAUUUUGAAUGUGUUUUUCACUGUAACGGUCAAAUGUCAUGAAUGUAGAACCCCCUUUAACAAACUUUAACAAAACAGAACCGAUCAAACUUUCAUUAAUUUUCAUGAUUAUAUUUUAUGUUUUUUUGUUUCUUUUAGUUAAUGCCCCUUAAAAAUAUUUCUCUUCAAAUUACAACUCUUGUGUACAAACAUGAUAAAAUGUUGUGUUUUUCUUUUACAGGAUAUAAUGGCAAGUUGGGAUCAGGUAAGAUUUUCUUCUUUAAAGUCAAUGGUCAUGUGACCAGUAUGUUGUCUAUAAACUGUACAUAAAGAUACAGGAGUGUAGUAUUCUCAGAGUCAGUCAGAGGGAGAAUAGGAGAAAUUAAAUUGACUACAGUUAUGGUCAUGACAGUGAACAGAAUUUCCAUAUAUAUACAAAUUAUCACUAUUUUACGAAAUUUUCCUUUGAUCUUACUAACUGAUAAUUUCCUUUCUCAGCACUGUAGAGUGAUACCAAAAAUUAUCGAUAGAUACUAAGGGUGCACAUGCCGUUGUCAAUGAAAUUGUGUUUUUCUUUUACAAGAUAUAAUGGCAAGUUGGAAUAAGGUAAGAUUUUCUUCUUAAAAAUCAAUUGUCAUGUGACAUAUGUUGUCUAUAAACUGUACAUAAAUAUAAAGGUGUGUAGUAUUCUCAGUCAGUCAGUGUCAUGUGACCUAUGUCAUGUGACCUAUAUGUUGUCUAUAAACUGUACAUAAAGAUACAGGUGUGUAGUAUUCUCAGAGUCAGUCAGUGUCAUGUGACCUCAGGUGUAUUCUCAGGGGGAGAACAGGAGAAAUCAAAAGGACUACAGUGAACAGAAUUUCAAUAUACAAAAUUCCAGGAGACAAAAAAAAAAGGAACGUAAGAUAUUGUAGGACAUUCACAACUCUUUAAGUCGAAGAGAAUCUGACAUCGCCAUGGAAAAAAAUGAAAAACAAUCAAAAUUCAACAGUCUACAUUAGUCAUUUCAGGGCCUUUUAUAGCUGACUAUGCCAUAUGGGCUUUGAUCAUUGUUGAAGGCUGUACGGUGACUUAUAGUUGUUAUUUUCUGUGUCAUUUGGUCUAUUUUGUAUAAUUGUCUCAUUGGCAAUCAUACCACAUCUUCUUUUUAUAUUCAAAACAUUACAUAGAAAACUAAAGACCGAGCAACACAAACCUCAACAAAAACUUAGGCUGAUCUCAAAACUGAUGCAUAAUACAAUUGUCUACAGACUUUUCUAAAAAAAACUCUGAAAUUAUAGACAACAAUUUCACUCCUUCUUGGUAAUCACUGUAUUUGGUAUAAACUGUUGAAACUGUAAAAAUGUAGCUUGUUAAAUUCAAUUAUUACAUUUAUAUAAUAUUUGUAUGUUCUAGAGGAAAAUGUAAAAGCUUUGUUUUGCUUACAGAAACUUCUUACAGCUGCAGAGAAGGGGAAUAUAAAAGAGGUAGAAUUAUGUGUAAAGAACAGAGCUAACUUGGAAUGUAGCAAUUCUGUAAG